GAGAAUAAUUAGGUUUUUGGCUGUAGGUUCGGAGKCGUGAGGCACUUUGUGUGGCCAUAGUCCCGAAAGGGAUUCUGUKGUUCGAAGCKGUGUAGGUGUGCCUCAACAUCGUCAUUGGUUGUAACCCGGUACUCGUGUGCGAGCUGGUCUGAUGCCUUCUAUCCCGGCCGUUUAAAUACACGGUCGGCGGCGCCAAUGUGACUUCUGGGUUUUAUUGUGGUGGCCGUUUUUACCGAUUUUUAAUGGUUGGUGAUUCUUACUUGAUUUUAAUUGUGCACUUUGUUAUUGGUUGUCUGUCGGUUUUUAGAAUGUAUGUGCCAUAAAACUGGGUAUUUUCAACCCCGUGUUUGAUCCUAAUCUAUGGGAUGAUACGGGUUGACGUUUGGUUGGGUGGUUCGUUCAUGUUCGUGUCGAAAUUUGAAUUUCCUGGACCGCCAUGAGAUGUAGUCGGAUCUCCCCGGACAGACUAUUAGCUGUUGGGCGCUUUUGGGCUGGGUAAGAUCGGGUGAUUCAGAUAUAUGGUGGCAGGGGUCGUGUAAAAUGUUUUUUACGUCGAUUUCUCGGGGCGUGAUUGUGCAGUCCAGUUCCACAUCGUGUACUUAACCUGUUCUAACCGGUGUCAUGGGAUGAUUGUUGGAUGGAUGUUACUUUGUGGAUCCUAUGGUUGCCUAAAUCGUCAUUCUCUCAGUUAACUUGUGGAGGGACUUCGGUUGAUAGUGUCGGGAACUCAUGCGUGUGUGGCGGGCAGUAGRGGAGAUUGCUUAUACAC
This 769-nucleotide ribosomal RNA is filed under the name Diploderma luei. Its description in RNAcentral is "partial 12S ribosomal RNA". The record is from RNAcentral. Lineage: Eukaryota; Metazoa; Chordata; Lepidosauria; Squamata; Agamidae.